UUAAACAGAUUUAAGACCUGUGUUGAUAGUUCAAAUCACAAAACUAGCUUAAUUUGAUGAGUUAAAAUAGAAAACUUUUUUAACUUGGUCAUGAUCCACAUUUAAAACUAGCCUCUUAGCAUGUUAGUUACAAUUUACAAUUUGAACCAUUCAUAGUUAUCUGCACUGAAUUUCAUAACACUGCACUGAGCUCAUAAAAUAUGCCUAUGUUAUUAAUGUUUAUAGCCCACAUAUGCUGAUGCCAAGCCACCCAUCAUUACCACAAAACCAAAAAGGAAUGUCAUAGUAAGCGGGCAGCCAUCGCCAGAUAUGGUGCCCUCCAUUUCUCUGGCAGGUCAACAGAGCAGAGUGCAGCUCAUUGUAAAGAGUAUAAAUGCAAUGGAGGUAAAUGCUGUGAAGUCCAGGACACUGCCAAGCAUCACAGGAGCUCCAAAUCCAAGUGACAUCGACACAGUCACUUUGGAGAGGGUGACUGAGAGAGUCACAAUUACUGGGAGCCUGUGGAAUAAAGGUACUGGAAGCCCUUCAUUUUUUAUACCUGCAGCUAAUUGGUCCAUGCCUGACAUGGAGGUAAGAACCCAUCACACCUCAUGAUAAUUUUCCAUAACAAGAACUGCACAUGCUUA
This 626-nucleotide long non-coding RNA is filed under the name Astyanax mexicanus (Mexican tetra). RNAcentral describes it as "lncRNA (ENSAMXG00005005656.1)". Lineage: Eukaryota; Metazoa; Chordata; Actinopteri; Characiformes; Acestrorhamphidae. The record is from RNAcentral.